RNAcentral lists this ribosomal RNA (472 nucleotides) under uncultured bacterium. RNAcentral describes it as "partial 16S ribosomal RNA". It matches the Rfam family "Bacterial small subunit ribosomal RNA", at positions 28 to 507 of the family's 1533-position model. The record is from RNAcentral.
GACGAACGCUGGCGGCGUGCUUAACACAUGCAAGUCGAACGCUGAAGCUUGGUGCUUGCACUGGGUGGAUGAGUGGCGAACGGGUGAGUAAUACGUGAGUAACCUGCCCUUGACUCUGGGAUAAGCCUGGGAAACUGGGUCUAAUACUGGAUACGACAUGUCACCGCAUGGUGGUGUGUGGAAAGGGUUUUACUGGUUUUGGAUGGGCUCACGGCCUAUCAGCUUGUUGGUGGGGUAAUGGCUCACCAAGGCGACGACGGGUAGCCGGCCUGAGAGGGUGGCCGGGCAAAAUGGGACUGGGGCACCGCCCAGACUCCUACGGGAGGCAGCAGUGGGGAAUAUUGCACAAUGGGCGGAAGCCUGAUGCAGCGACGCCGCGUGAGGGAUGACGGCCUUCGGGUUGUAAACCUCUUUCAGCACGGAAGAAGCGAAAGUGACGGUACGUGCAGAAGAAGCGCCGGCUAACUACGUG